AGUGAACGCUGGCGGUAGGCCUAACACAUGCAAGUCGAACGGCAGCACAGUAAGAGCUUGCUCUUACGGGUGGCGAGUGGCGGACGGGUGAGGAAUACAUCGGAAUCUACUUUUUCGUGGGGGAUAACGUAGGGAAACUUACGCUAAUACCGCAUACGACCUACGGGUGAAAGCUGGGGAUCUUCGGACCUUGCGCGAUUGAAUGAGCCGAUGUCGGAUUAGCUAGUUGGCGGGGUAAAGGCCCACCAAGGCGACGAUCCGUAGCUGGUCUGAGAGGAUGAUCAGCCACACUGGAACUGGGACACGGUCCAGACUCCUACGGGAGGCAGCAGUGGGGAAUAUUGGACAAUGGGCGCAAGCCUGAUCCAGCCAGACCGCGUGGGUGAAGAAGGCCUUCGGGUUGUAAAGCCCUUUUGUUGGGAAAGAAAAGCAGCAGGUUAAUACCCCGCUGUUCUGACGGUACCCAAAGAAUAAGCACCGGCUAACUUCGUG
RNAcentral lists this ribosomal RNA (492 nucleotides) under uncultured bacterium. RNAcentral's name for it is "partial 16S ribosomal RNA". It matches the Rfam family "Bacterial small subunit ribosomal RNA", at positions 29 to 507 of the family's 1533-position model. The record is from RNAcentral.